This 433-nucleotide ribosomal RNA is filed under the name uncultured bacterium. RNAcentral describes it as "bacterial SSU rRNA". It matches the Rfam family "Bacterial small subunit ribosomal RNA", at positions 28 to 457 of the family's 1533-position model. The record is from RNAcentral.
GACGAACGCUGGCGGCGUGCUUAACACAUGCAAGUCGAACGCUGAAGCCCAGCUUGCUGGGUGGAUGAGUGGCGAACGGGUGAGUAUCACGUGAGUAACCUGCCCCCUUCUUUGGGAUAACGCCCGGAAACGGGUGCUAAUACUGGAUAUUCACUUGCCUUCGCAUGGGGGUUGGUGGAAAGGGUUUUUUCUGGUGGGGGAUGGGCUCGCGGCCUAUCAGCUUGUUGGUGGGGUGAUGGCCUACCAAGGCUUUGACGGGUAGCCGGCCUGAGAGGGUGACCGGUCACAUUGGGACUGAGAUACGGCCCAGACUCCUACGGGAGGCAGCAGUGGGGAAUAUUGCACAAUGGGCGAAAGCCUGAUGCAGCGACGCCGCGUGAGGGAUGGAGGCCUUCGGGUUGUAAACCUCUUUCGCUCAUGGUCAAGCCGCAGC